GGUAAACAAGUGAAGAGGAACAUCAUCGAUCAAACAUGGCAUCGUCGGAGAGGCGGUGCCACUACGAGGUCUUAGGUCUCGCACGCGACUGCUCACCCGAUGAGAUCCGCUCGUCUUACAAGAAGCUCGCUCUGCAGCGCCACCCGGACAAGCUCGUCCAAUCCGGCUUGUCCCAGGCCCAAGCCACGGCUCAGUUCCAGGAGCUGAGCCAGGCCUACGAGGUUCUCUCCGACCCUAAAGAGCGAGCCUGGUACGACUCUCACCGCUCCCAAAUCCUCUUCGCCGAUCCCAACUCGGCCAACUCGGUCCCGGACUCGGUCAUCCCCAACCUCUUCUCCUUCUUCUCCACCACCGUAUUCUCCGGCUACUCCGACUCCGGUCGCGGAUUCUACAAGGUCUACGCCGAUGUUUUCAAUAAAAUUUACGCCAACGAGCUCAGCUACGUUCGUAAAUUAGGGUUAGGGUUAGACACGGUGCGUGAAGCUCCGGCUAUGGGGAAUUUGGAAAGUCCCUACGCGCAGGUGACGGCGUUUUAUAACUACUGGUUGGGCUUUUGUACGGUGAUGGACUUUUUCUGGGUGGACCAGUAUGAUGUGAUGAGCGGCCCGAACCGGAAGGUGAGGAGGCUGAUGGAGGAGGAUAACAAGAAGCUGAGGAAGAAGGCGAAGAGAGAGUACAACGACACGGUGCGGGGUUUGGCAGAAUUUGUGAAGAAGAGGGACAAGAGGGUGAUGGAUAUGAUGGUGAAGAGGGAGGAGGAGAGGGAGAGGAAGAGGGAAGAAGAGAGAGAAAAGAAGAAGAAGUUGGAGAAGGAGAAAUUGGAGAGAGCUAUGGCGUAUGAGGAGCCGGAGUGGGCGAAAGUGGUUGAGGAAGAGGAAGGAGGAAAUGGGGUUGAGGAAAUGGAGGAAGAGGAGGAGGAGAGGAGGAGGAAGGAAUUGUAUUGUGUCGUAUGUGGGAAGAAGUUUAAGAGUGAGAAGCAGUGGAAGAAUCACGAGCAGUCGAAGAAGCACCGCGAUAAGGUUGCAGAGUUUAGGGAGUCAGUUGGGGAUGAAGAGUUUGAUGCUCAGGAGAUUUUGGAAGGAGAGGUUGAAGAAAGGGGUGAGGUGGAUGAUAUUGAUGGGGUUGAUACUGAUGAAUUAGGUGAGGGGAUUAGGGAAGGGUUGAAGAUUGGGGAGGAGGAAAAUGGGGUAGGAGUGAGUGAUAGGGAGGAUAAGUUUUAUGAAGUUGGUGAUGAAAAUGAGAGGGAAAAGGUUGAUGAGGCAGUUGGAUUGGAUGGAGAUGAUGGUGAAGAUGAGAUGGGUGUUCUGGAAGCAAUGUUGGCUGGCCGAAACAGUAGGAAAAAUGCAGCUUUGAGGGUUGAACAAGAGGAUUCCUUCGUGACUGAUAUUCAUGCGGAGAAUGAUGACAAUGAGGUAGAGUUUAUGGAAUAUGAUAACCGGAAGAGUACAAGAAGGAAAGGAGGAGCGAGGAAAGAUAGGAGUAAGAAGAGUAGUGGAGAAACUAAAAAGGUUGGUAGAAGUGAAAUUAAUAGUGAUCGGGGUGAGGAGCUUAAUGAACAUGAUAAUUCACAUAUAGAAGAAUCCGCAUCUCAUUCUUUUGUAAAAAAAGAGAGUAAAGGGGAUGAUCAGUUAGCAAGAAAGAAAAAGAGCUCAAGCCAACCCGUUGAUAAGAAAGAGAAUGUGAAGAAAGAGGCAAACAGCAAAUCAAAGAACUCAUCUAGAGGGAAGAAGCCCAAGGCAGCAUCAAAGAAUUCUAGCAAUCUGUGUGACACAUGCGGAGAGGAGUUCGACACAAGAAACAAGUUACAUAAGCAUUUGGGUGAUACUGGACAUGCUAAGCUGAAGUGAUGAGGGGAACAGUUGCUGAAUGCUUGAUGUGAUUAAAUUAUCAACCAUAGAAGAGUAUUGUAGUUGCUGAUCGGCGACAAUUCUUUAUUUGUACAAAGGCUGGCGGGAAGCAAUGAAGAGGCAUAUGGAUGACUGGAGGUUCACAGGGAAUGUUGAACUCUUAUCAUGGCUGUGGAAUUCCUCAGUCAAGAGUGCCGCAUAAAAAACUUUUUUCCCAGUCCAUUCCCCAUUGUUGAAUAGAUUGGGGCAUUGUAUCAUGUAUCCUAGUAAUAAUUUGGACGAAAAAACAUUUUACUGUCAAAUGGAAUACCGAUACAGAGGUUGGAAAGGAUUUAUUGAAUAUGUACGUUUGAAUAGCAUCGGAGGUUAACGAACCUCAUUUGG
This is an RNA transcript of Prunus mume (Japanese apricot), 2231 nucleotides long. It is a transcript of the gene named DNAJ heat shock N-terminal domain-containing protein, with no coding region annotated. The record is from RefSeq and is a predicted model, not a curated record. Lineage: Eukaryota; Viridiplantae; Streptophyta; Magnoliopsida; Rosales; Rosaceae.